RNAcentral lists this ribosomal RNA (492 nucleotides) under uncultured bacterium. RNAcentral describes it as "partial 16S ribosomal RNA". It matches the Rfam family "Bacterial small subunit ribosomal RNA", at positions 29 to 507 of the family's 1533-position model. The record is from RNAcentral.
AGUGAACGCUGGCGGUAGGCCUAACACAUGCAAGUCGAACGGCAGCACAGUAAGAGCUUGCUCUUACGGGUGGCGAGUGGCGGACGGGUGAGGAAUACAUCGGAAUCUACUUUUUCGUGGGGGAUAACGUAGGGAAACUUACGCUAAUACCGCAUACGACCUACGGGUGAAAGCAGGGGAUCUUCGGACCUUGCGCGAUUGAAUGAGCCGAUGUCGUAUUAGCUAGUUGGCGGGGUAAAGGCCCACCAAGGCGACGAUCCGUAGCUGGUCUGAGAGGAUGAUCAGCCACACUGGAACUGAGACACGGUCCAGACUCCUACGGGAGGCAGCAGUGGGGAAUAUUGGACAAUGGGCGCAAGCCUGAUCCAGCCAUACCGCGUGGGUGAAGAAGGCCUUCGGGUUGUAAAGCCCUUUUGUUGGGAAAGAAAAGCAGCAGGUUAAUACCCCGCUGUUCUGACGGUACCCAAAGAAUAAGCACCGGCUAACUUCGUG